AAGGAUCAUUAAAAAAAUGAGGUAUUUUAUACCUCUUGUAUUUAAAACCCAACUCUAAAAUAUAAAUUUUUUUUUAAAAAAAAAAAACGUGCUUUCAACAAUGGAUCUCUUGGUUCUCGCAUCGAUGAAGAACGCAGCGAAAUGCGAUAAGUAAUAUGAAUUGCAGAAUUCCGUGAAUCAUCAAAUUUUUGAACGCAAAUUGCACUUCUUGGUAUUCUGAGAAGUACACAUGCUUGAGGGUCAGUUAAAUGAAAAAGUCGUGUAUAUCUUUGAUAUUACGGAUCUGGGUAUAUCGAUUUUAUAAAUCGAUUACCUAAAAUUAAUCUAUAUAU
RNAcentral lists this ribosomal RNA (332 nucleotides) under uncultured Gigaspora. RNAcentral's name for it is "partial small subunit ribosomal RNA". The stretch from base 90 to 243 matches the Rfam family "5.8S ribosomal RNA". The record is from RNAcentral. Lineage: Eukaryota; Fungi; Glomeromycota; Glomeromycetes; Diversisporales; Gigasporaceae.